AUACUGAGCAAUAAUUUGUGCCACCACUUUCCCUCUCAUUAUAAUUGUUUAAAAUUUGAAGAAAACUAAUAAAGCAGGAUAGGGACGGAGCAAUAUCAUGGCAAAAGGUUUGGGAUUUGCUUGCAGAACACAAUUUCUCAAGUUCUUAAAAACCUUUAAAAUUGUCUUUUCUUUCUCCUUUUUGCCCAUUUCUUCUCAUAUAUUUGUUGCACAACAGUAAAAAGAUCUGAUACAAAGUCUAGUGAAACUGUUUUUACUGCUUUCUCAUACACAAAUUUGAAGAAGAACUAGUAAUGAAAGCAUUACUUUCUUCUUGAUCUAAUCCAUCGGAAGAAAACUCAGUAAUUUCACUUGCACUUGGUGAAGUAGGUUGAGGAGGACCAAAGACAGAGCAGUCUUCCACUGUAAAAUCAAUACAACUUGGCAUGGUCACUGCACUAGUUGUCUGACUUUUGUUAGAAACGGCUCUAUGUUUUUUAGCUUUUCUCUUUCUCUGAAACACCCGAAAAACUAACCAAUCUCCAAACAAUUCCCUCUUGGACACCUGCAUAUAUGGCAAAUCCAUAGCUAAGAAAAUGAUUUUAAUCAAAAUCUUUGAUAACUGCAACUUAUAUUUGCAGAAAUGAGCUAUCCUACAAAGUUUGUUGUUAUAUUACCUGGGUUGAAUCAAGAGUUGCCGCUGCCGCGGCCGCAAAGCCAACCAGGCGAUAUUGAUGCAAAAGCCAUUGAUUCUUAGUCUCAUUAGAACGCUUCCCUUCACAAAAAAUCAAAGCUUUUCUCAUCCCAACUACUUGAUUGCCUCCAGAAGCUAAAAUUGGCUUCUCUUUGCCUAUUGGCUUCCAGUAGCCAGAACCAGCUACUCUCUUGCAUUUGUUGUUACUGCCAGUACCAUAUCUUGUGCUAAAGAAAUACCUAUUUUCUUUCAAAUCACCUGAAAACCAACAAAAAUUAAGAUCUUUUAUAAAACCCUUAUUUAGUGCUCAAGACAUGAUAAGUUCCACUUCUAAUACUACAAAUUCUCAAGCUGCAAAUUUAUAGGACAUGUUAGAUAAUGGCAGACAGUUUUGUUUCCUAAACUUUAACAAAGCUUAGCGUUCUCCGUUACCAUAACUUCCCUUAUCGUAUGGAAUCCUCAUAGAUAACAGUAUUAAGAGAAUUUGAAGGAUAAGGACAUGAACAAGGAUCUGAUAAACAGAAAAUUAAUAAAGUUGGGUUUCAAAGAACUAGAAAUUAAAAGCAUUAACUUUGAAGGGCAACUAACCUGGCAAGCUCCAAGGAUCAGUCUGGAAAACAUCAAACUCAGGAAUAACAGAAGCAGGUAAUGGAAGACUUAAAGCCUUUCUCUUCAAGUAAUGAACCACAAGCUCUUCCUCUGUAGGACGGAACCUGAAGCCGAUGGGCAUCUUGAUCCCUCCAUUUACAACAAAGUUUUGGCUUUCCAUCCUUAAAAUCUUAAGAAACCUCCUCAACCAGCUAUGUUAAGUUCGUAUCUUUUGCUUGACUGAUCUCUCAACCAACCAAACUUGACCUAACUUAGCUGAUUGAAAUCAAGCAUAGUAACCC
RNAcentral lists this long non-coding RNA (1563 nucleotides) under Durio zibethinus. RNAcentral's name for it is "long non-coding RNA (DZIB_LNC000299)". Lineage: Eukaryota; Viridiplantae; Streptophyta; Magnoliopsida; Malvales; Malvaceae. The record is from RNAcentral.